GUGAGACGGAAGCUCCGGCGCC
Molecule: small nuclear RNA, 22 nt
Filed under: Arabidopsis thaliana (thale cress)
Lineage: Eukaryota; Viridiplantae; Streptophyta; Magnoliopsida; Brassicales; Brassicaceae
Description: snRNA_14831
Source: RNAcentral